CUACGGGCGGCUGCAGUGGGGAAUAUUGCACAAUGGGCGAAAGCCUGAUGCAGCAACGCCGCGUGAGCGAUGAAGGCCUUCGGGUCGUAAAGCUCUGUCCUCAAGGAAGAAUUUUGACGGUACUUGAGGAGGAAGCCCCGGCUAACUACGUGCCAGCAGCCGCGGUAAUCGUAGGGGGCUAGCGUUAUCCGGAAUUACUGGGCGUAAAGGGUGCGUAGGUGGUCUGACAAGUCAGGGGUGAAAGGCUACGGCUCAACCGUAGUAAGCCCUUGAAACUGUCGGACUUGAGUGCAGGAGAGGAAAGUGGAAUUCCCAGUGUAGCGGUGAAAUGCGUAGAUAUUGGGAGGAACAUCAGUGGCGAAGGCGACUUUCUGGACUGUAACUGACACUGAGGCACGAAAGCGUGGGGAGCAAACAGGAUUAGAUACCCCCGUAGUC
Molecule: ribosomal RNA, 438 nt
Filed under: uncultured bacterium
Lineage: Bacteria
Description: partial 16S ribosomal RNA
Rfam family: Bacterial small subunit ribosomal RNA
Source: RNAcentral